This 323-nucleotide ribosomal RNA is filed under the name uncultured bacterium. RNAcentral describes it as "bacterial SSU rRNA". It matches the Rfam family "Bacterial small subunit ribosomal RNA", at positions 1061 to 1384 of the family's 1533-position model. The record is from RNAcentral.
CGUGUCGUGAGAUGUUGGGUUAAGUCCCGCAACGAGCGCAACCCUCGUCUUCAGUUGCCAGCAUGUUUGGGUGGGCACUCUGAAGGAACUGCCGGUGACAAGCCGGAGGAAGGUGGGGAUGACGUCAAGUCCUCAUGGCCCUUAUGUCCUGGGCUACACACGUGCUACAAUGGCGGUGACAGUGGGAAGCUAGCCAGCGAUGGUGUGCUGAUCUCUAAAAGCCGUCUCAGUUCGGAUUGCACUCUGCAACUCGGGUGCAUGAAGGUGGAAUCGCUAGUAAUCGCGGAUCAGCAUGCCGCGGUGAAUACGUUCCCGGGCCUUGU